Long non-coding RNA from Beta vulgaris subsp. vulgaris (sugar beet), 669 nucleotides. RefSeq lists it as uncharacterized. The transcript has 3 exons. Lineage: Eukaryota; Viridiplantae; Streptophyta; Magnoliopsida; Caryophyllales; Amaranthaceae. The record is from RefSeq and is a predicted model, not a curated record.
CUCUAAACUUUCAAGCGACAUUGUCAGAGCAAGCUAACUGUCAAAGCUUAAAAGCUUCAUCAAUGCUUCGAUUUUUUUUUGCAUCUAAUUAAGGUAUGGUUUUGUUUCAUCCUUAAGUUGUUAUUUUUUCAUGAAAUUCAAUUGAUUUCUUCUAUGGGUACAAUCAUCUUACCCACCAAUUGAAGAACCUUCAUUGAAGAAAAUCCACAAUAGACCCACUGUAAAGAGAAAGCCAUCUCUAGGGGUGGUUGAUGGUUGUAAGCUGUCAAGGAAAGGUCAAAUAAACAAAUGCAGCAAUUGUGGGGAGGUGGGGCACAACAAAAGAAAAUGUGUUGCCCCGGUAAAGCAACCAGGUUGCAUAAAAUUUCUCAAGAAACCUAUAACAACACCCAGGAAGAAAAAGAAGCAACAGAAUUGUGUCUCAACAACACUAGUGAAGCCUUCAACACAACAAACCCAAUGCUCAAUUGCUCCACACAACAAAGGUGUUGGAGUGUACACUUAUCCAAGUGGUUUUCAGAGGCAAGCAGAGUUCAUCAAUACCGUUGGGAGUCAAUCAACCAAAGCAUCAAACUCAACACAAUUGGAUCAAAUGGGUUAAUUAUACAAGAGACCAACACAAUUGUUCUACCUUGACUAAGACAAGGAUGGAAGAUAGAAGAUGGAAGA